RNAcentral lists this ribosomal RNA (433 nucleotides) under uncultured bacterium. RNAcentral describes it as "partial 16S ribosomal RNA". It matches the Rfam family "Bacterial small subunit ribosomal RNA", at positions 29 to 507 of the family's 1533-position model. The record is from RNAcentral.
AACGAACGCUGGCGGCAUGCCUAACACAUGCAAGUCGAACGAGACCUUCGGGUCUAGUGGCGCACGGGUGCGUAACGCGUGGGAACCUGCCCUUAGGUUCGGAAUAACUCCCCGAAAGGGGUGCUAAUACCGGAUAAUGUCUUCGGACCAAAGAUUUAUCGCCUUUGGAUGGGCCCGCGUUGGAUUAGCUAGUUGGUAGGGUAAAAGCCUACCAAGGCGACGAUCCAUAGCUGGUCUGAGAGGAUGAUCAGCCACACUGGGACUGAGACACGGCCCAGACUCCUACGGGAGGCACCAGUGGGGAAUAUUGGACAAUGGGCGAAAGCCUGAUCCAGCAAUGCCGCGUGAGUGAUGAAGGCCUUAGGGUUGUAAAGCUCUUUUACCCGGGAUGAUAAUGACAGUACCGGGAGAAUAAGCUCCGGCUAACUCCGUG